CUCACUUUCUCACACUCAUAGGCCACAGAGUUCCACCAGAAACCACCGCUCUCAACCGUCGAUGGAGGUGGCCACCGCAGCUUCCAGCUUCGCGCUUCACACGCGCAUCUCAGCCGCUCCCCGAGCCCUAAACCCUAACCGCGUCCAAACGAUGUCGUCUUGCUCCCCUCUCCGAGCCUCCCUCUCCUCCAACUUCCUCUCGCCCUUCGCCGGCGGCAGCGUCACCUCCGACUUCUCCGGCCACAAGCUCCGCCCUUCCUCUCUCAAUCCGGCGCCGUCUCGUGGCUCUAAGCCCAAACGCGGUGUCGUCACCAUGGUUAUUCCAUUUCAAAGGGGAAGUGCAUGGGAGCAACCACCUCCAGACCUGGCAUCAUAUCUAUACAAGAAUCGGAUUGUUUACUUGGGAAUGUCGCUUGUUCCUUCAGUAACCGAGUUGAUUCUUGCAGAAUUUCUCUACCUUCAGUAUGAGGACGAUACAAAGCCUAUCUACUUGUACAUAAAUUCCACUGGAACUACCAAGGGUGGUGAGAAAUUGGGUUACGAGACAGAGGCUCUUGCAAUAUAUGAUGUCAUGAGGUAUGUCAAGCCACCAAUAUUUACUCUUUGUGUUGGUAAUGCUUGGGGAGAAGCCGCUUUACUCUUGGCUGCUGGUGCAAAAGGAAACCGUUCUGCGUUACCCUCAUCAACAAUCAUGAUAAAGCAGCCAAUUGCAAGGUUCCAAGGUCAAGCAACAGAUAUUGAACUUGCAAGAAAAGAAGUGAAGAAUGUGAAAGACGAGUUGGUCAAGCUCUUUGCUAAGCAUGUUGGAAAAUCGACUGAGCAAAUUGAAGCGGACAUUAGACGUCCAAAAUAUUUUAGUCCCAGCGAGGCAGUUGAAUAUGGCAUCAUAGACAAGGUACUGUACAAUGAGAGGGGUCAUAAAGACAGGGGAGUAGUUGCUGACCUGAAAAAGGCACAGCUUAUUUGAUGAAAGGAAGACUUGGAAUGAUUACUGGAAUUAACACUCAGAGGAUUCAGUAAGGGGACACCUAGAAGAGGUGCUGGUGCUUUAUGGUUAGCUUGCUUACAGGUGGAUUCACCUAUUUAGUGUUUGUUUUGAUUGCACAUGGGAAUGAGAAUGACUAAAGAGCAAUUUUGGUUGGUGGGAUGCUUUGAUGAUAGUAUUCAUUUCAUUUCUGCAUCACCACCUUUUUGCCCACAUCCCAAAUUACAAGUGUAAAAGUGGAAUGCAAGGAAGUAGGUAAUAUGAGCCAUACACAUCAUUGCAUUGUCUCAAUAGUUUCUCAUCCAUUAUUUGCUCUUAGUGGCUCAUCCAUUUGUAGAGCUAUGUGAUUGUGAAACCCAUCAUAGUGAAUGUCACUCCCUGAUUUGGAACUUCCUCCUUGGAGCUAUAAUGUAAUCAGGUGUGAACAUAUCAGAUGAUACAUUUUAGAAAAUUUACGUUCUUUGUAGUUGACGUUGGGUUCAUGGAUUUUUACAUUGUCUAUGAUAAUGUAACUUUGACUUAAUGGUCAAACAAUAAGCUAUUUUUUGGUUCUAACAGUCGAGAAGCUUAGUUCAGAGAACAUGCAUAAUGUAAUCAGGAGUGAACAUAUCAGAUGAUACAUUUUAGAAAAUUUAUGUUCUUUGUAGUUGACGUUGGGUUCAUGGAUUUUUACGUUGUCUAUGAUAAUGUAACUUUGACUUAAUGGUCAACCAAUAAGCUUUUUUUUGGUUCUAACAGUCAAGAAGCUUAGUUCAGAGAACAUGCAUUGUUUGAGAUGCAAGUUUAUGAGAUGACUGGCUUCUUCAGUACUGGAGCAAGAGUUUGCACCAUUCACAAAAAAACCAGUGUUAAAGCCGCUAGUGGUACACAAAAGUGCAGCAAAGGAAGUCCAUUAUAUAUGCCUUAACUUGUAUGAUUCCCAAAGAAUUUUGAUUGUUUUCUGGGUUUGGUUGAAUCUUACAUGCACUAGAACUAGGCUUAUGUGUAAAAACCGUUGAAAAGAAAUUAUGUUGUAUUCAGCUUACAGUAUUUGUUAUUAUAUUAUACAAAACUAAUUUUUAUUUC
RNA transcript from Rosa rugosa (rugosa rose), 2050 nucleotides. It is a transcript of the gene named ATP-dependent Clp protease proteolytic subunit-related protein 4, chloroplastic, with no coding region annotated. The transcript has 9 exons. NCBI's taxonomy places the organism in Eukaryota, Viridiplantae, Streptophyta, Magnoliopsida, Rosales, Rosaceae. The record is from RefSeq and is a predicted model, not a curated record.